UCCUAGAAGCAGUGCUUAUGGGAGCUCCCGAGACCAGUGUGAGCACUGCUGGUCUCCAGUCGCCUUCCCAGCACUGCAAGUGGAAGACGCGUGGAGGAGGAAGAGGAGGGGGGGAGUAUCUGUCCCCGUGCCCUAGGCAGGAGAAAGGGAAAACGGGAGAGGAAAGGGGAGAGAAAGAAGGAGAGAAAGUGAGAAGGAGCAUGUCAGAGAUGCAGAGUGUGAUAAUAAAGGGACGAGAGAGAGAGAGAGAGACAUGAGAAGAUGAGGCCAGGAGAGAAAAAUAUAAAAAAAAAAGCCAAGAGUAGAAAAAAAGAGAGCGAAAGCAGGGUGGCACAGGGAGAAGAGCAAAUUAGUGAGCGAAUAGGAGACGAAGAGAGAGAGUGAGCGAGAGCGAGCGAGAGGGAGGGAGGCGAACAACACUGCAGACACUCGCCCACUGUCACUGCUCCACAGCCAGAGGACAGAGGCAGCAACGGCAACAGUGGAAGCGGAUACGAUGGAGGAGGAAGACUGAACCAUCCAUCUGCAGCUCAGUCCCCGUCACUAAAAGCCUUCCUCUGGGACCAUCCUGCCAAGUUGGGAGCAAAACAAAAAAGGAGAAAACUACUCUCUCUGUCCUUCACGAGACCAAGUACUGGACCUUAACUCCUGCAAGACUGACACCACACACACACCUCAUUAUUUUUCCCCUCGCUUACACUCACAUACACUUACUCACAACCUCACUAUCUCAAACUGAAGCACACUCCACUUCUUGUUGCCUUUUGGACUAGUGUGUUUUUUGUUUUUGUUUUCUACACUGCCUUCGCUGACCUGAGCUGAGUGGAUUUACUUUUAUCCUGUGGCGGACCAUGGGGCUAGGGUGGAGGGGUGCAGCAGGGACCCUCCGAAUAAGGACAGAGGGGAGCUGGUACCUUUUGGUGACAUUGCUGCUGUUCUGUGGUUUCUGGGAGGCUCACACACAGACAGAUGAUGGGAAGUCUGUCUACUUCUGGGAAACAGGUCCAUGGGGAAGAUGCAUGGGCAGCGACUGUGGCCCGGGUGGCAGCCAAAGCCGGGCAGUCUGGUGUGCCCAUGUGGAAGGCUGGACAACGCUUCACACCAACUGUGACCAGGGCCAGCGUCCUUCCAACCAGAGGAACUGUUUCCGUGUGUGUGACUGGCACAAGGACCUUUAUGACUGGCAAUUGGGUGCCUGGAAUGUGUGCGUGCCAGUUUCAGCAAGGACCUUAUGGGCCUCACGGCCGUUCACAUGCAGUGGAGGCGAAGAGGGCAUUCAGACCCGGGAGGUGGGCUGCAUACUCAAAUCAGACGGGUCUCCAGCAGAGGAUGCCAUCUGUGAGUACUUUGAGCCCAAGCCUCGCCUGGAGCAGGCAUGUUUGAUCCCUUGCCCUCAGGAUUGUGUGGUUUCCGAGUAUUCUCCAUGGACAUCCUGCUCCAAAACGUGUGGAACAGGCCUCAGGAACAGGGUCCGUAGUGUCCUGGUUCCUCCACUUUUUGGAGGCGCGGUUUGUCCCAACCUAACUGAGUUCCAGUCUUGUAAACCAGGGCCUUGCACAGGUCCAGAGGGCAUGUACAAUCUCAGGGUUGGACCGUGGAGCCCUUGUGCCCUCCCACAGACUCGGACGGCACGCCAAGUUAAGCGCCGGAAAGGUAAAGGCCAGGGGCUCAGGGAGAGAGCAGGAGUCAAAGAUCCAGAGACUAGGGAGCUUAUCCAGAAGAAACGAACCCGGAACCGCCUUAACCGGCAAGAGAGUCCAUUCUGGGACAUCCAGGUUGGCUACCAGACUCGGGACGUGACCUGCGUACACCGGAAUGGGAGCGCUGUGGGACGCAACCUGUGUGCACCGAGGGACCUGCCGCUGACCAUCCAGUCCUGCGUCCUCCCCAAGGACUGCCAGGUGACCGACUGGGCCGUGUGGAGCCCCUGUUCCAAAACCUGCGUGGACCCUGAGUCUCCCAUAGGCAAUCGCACUCGGAGCAGGAAGGUGGUCCAGUUCCCGGUGGGCGAGGGGGCGGAGUGCACGCCGCUGGAGGAGUCUGAGACGUGUGAACCUCAGGGUGAAGGCGUGCCGCCCUGCGCCACCUACACCUGGAGAAGCACAGAGUGGAGCGACUGCCGGGUCGACCCGUUGCUAAGCCAACAGGACCGUCGGCGUAGCAACCUGACAGGGCUCUGUGGGGGAGGCCUGCAGACCAGGGAAAUUUAUUGCGUCCAGGCCAACGCUGAGCUUCUAAAAUACCUCAACGACCUCAGAGAAAAAGACAAAGCAGGUCAGACCCAAAGACAGCAGAAGCCUAGUGUCCCCCCUCUCCUCUCCAUCACCUUCCAGAUUACAGCCUCCCGCCCCGUGGAAAACAAGCUGUGCAAGGGUCCGAUCCCCAACAGGUCCCAGCUGUGCCAAAUCCCCUGUCCCAUCGACUGUGAGGUGUCGCCGUGGGGCGCCUGGGGCCCCUGCACCUUCGAAAACUGUGAUGACCAGGCUGGAAAGAAAGGUUUCAAACUGAGAAAACGACAGGUAACCAACGAGCCAACCGGAGGGCCUGGAAACUGCCCGCACCUGGUGGAGGCGGUGCCGUGCGACGAGCCCACUUGUUACAACUGGCAACUGGUCGACCUGGAUCAGUGUGUUCCUGACGAUGAGAAGCCGUGUGGCCCCGGCACUCAGCUCGUACAGGUCCAGUGUGUCAACAGCAACGGAGAGGAGGUGGACAGGAAUCUCUGCAUGUCUUACCCAGCUCCAGAGCCUGUGCCGUGUGAAGUGCCUUGCUCAAGGGACUGCGUGCUCAGUGAUUGGACAGCCUGGUCUACUUGCUCUCAGACCUGCUCCAGUAAGACCAUCGAGGGGAAGCAGAUGAGGACCCGCUCCAUUCUGGCCUACAACGCCGGGGAAGUCACUUCGAUGGUUGUGGCGUGGAUCACAGUGAUGGAGGGUCUUUCACAGGUGCCAAAGUUUCCGGAACUUUUUGGUGGAGCCCUUUGCCCAAACAGCAGUGCCCUCCAGGAGGUACGGAACUGUAACGAACACGCCUGUACAGUUUACCACUGGCAGACGGGGCCUUGGGGCCCUUGUACCGAAGACCCCUCUGCCUCGACCCUAAACACCUCCAGCGGUGACGGCCAGGGUCCCUGCUCCAUGGGAAUGCAAACUCGUAAGGUCAUCUGUGUCCGGGUCAACGUGGGACAGGUGCCACCCAAGAAGUGUCCAGACGGCCCUCGCCCCAGCACGGUGCGACCAUGUCAGCUGCCCUGCAAGAAAGACUGUAUCAUGACCCCUUUCAGUGACUGGACACCGUGUCCUGUUACUUGUGACGCAGCUGGUAACGCUGUGAAGAGUAAGCAAUCAAGGAAACGCCUCAUCAUCCAGCUGCCAUCCAACGGAGGACAGGACUGUCCAGAGGUGCUGGAGGAGGAGAGGGACUGUGAGAUUGCCAAAAUCUGUCCAGGAUUCAGGUGGAAAACCCACAAAUGGAGGAAGUGCCAGCUGGUCCCGUGGUUCCUCAGAAAGGAACGUCCCGGUGCGCAGGAGACCUGUGGACCAGGACUCCAAACACGAGCUGUGUCCUGUCGCCAGCUGGACGGGACGCAGGCCGACGUCAGCGAGUGUCUGAAAUUCGGCAAAGCCAUGCCUGCCAUCACUCAGCGCUGUCAGCUCCCCUGCCAGGAUGACUGCCAGCUGACCAACUGGUCCAAGUUCUCAUCCUGCACAGCUGACUGUGUGGGGGUCCGCACCAGAAAGAGGGCUUUGAUAGGGAGGAGCAAGAAGAAAGACAAGUGCAAGAACACACAAAUGUAUCCUUUGAGUGAGACCCAGUACUGCCCUUGUGACAAGUAUAACGCCCAGCCAGUGGGGAACUGGUCAGACUGCAUCCUGCCUGAGGGAGGCAGAGUGGAGAGCAUCCUGGGGAUGAAGGUCCAGGGAGACAUCAAGGAGUGUGGACAGGGCUACCGCUACCAGGCCAUGGUGUGCUACGACCAGGACAGCAGGCUGGUGGAGACCUCGCGCUGCAACAGUCACGGUUAUAUUGAGGAGGCAUGCAUCAUCCCCUGUCCCUCAGACUGUAAACUCAGUGAAUGGUCCAACUGGUCACGUUGCAGCAAGUCCUGCGGCAGCGGGGUCAAAGUUCGCUCCAAAUGGCUUCGAGAGAAACCUUACAACGGUGGCCGGCCGUGUCCCAAACUGGACCACAUCAACCAGGCCCAGGUGUAUGAGGUGGUGCCGUGUCAGAGCGACUGUAAUCAGUAUGUGUGGGUGGCCGAGCCAUGGAGUGUGUGGAAAGUCAGUAACGUGGACUUAAAAGAGAACUGCGGCGAAGGUGUCCAGACCAGAAAAGUCAGGUGCAUGCUCAACACUAUAGACGGGCCGUCGGAGUCUGUGGAGGACUACCUGUGUGACCCGGAGGAGAUGCCCCUGGGGGCCAGGGAGAGCCGGCUGCCCUGCCCCGAGGACUGCGUCCUCAAUGACUGGGGCCCCUGGAGCCGCUGCAGCCUGCCAUGUACCAGAACCAACAAUCGAGUGCGGACGGCAUACACCCUCAGGUCGCCCACUGUAGGGAGGCAGUGUCCAGACACGACUGACAGGGAGCCUUGCAGCCUAAACCUCAACUGUUUCAACUACUUCUACAACAUCACAGACUGGAGUACAUGUCAGCUGAGUCCUAACGCUGUGUGCGGAAGCGGCAUCAAGACCCGGAUGCUCGACUGUGUUCGCAGCGACGGCAAAUCAGUCGAUAUAAAGUUCUGUGAGGAGUUGAAUUUGGAGAAAAGGUGGCAGAUGAACAUCUCCUGUGUGGUCGAGUGUCCCGUCAACUGUCAUCUGUCGGAGUGGUCGGCCUGGUCAGACUGUUCACAGACGUGCGGACUAGAAGGUAAGAUGUGGCGGCAGCGGUCAGUGGUCCAGGCCUCUCAGGGCGACGGCCGGCCCUGCCCUUCUCAGAUGGAGCAGUGGAAGCCCUGCCCUGUCCGACCCUGCUACCGCUGGAAGUACAGCCCCUGGUCCGAGUGUCGGGUGGAGAGUGUGGUGUGUGGACACGGCAUACGCUACAGAAACCUGUCCUGCUUUGUGUCGGACGGCUCCAGCAACGGUGAAGGCAGCUUGGUGGACGAGGAGCUGUGCAGCAGCCUGGAGGUGGCUAUCGAUGGAGACAAGCAGAUCAACCUGAAAGAGGCCUGUACACUUCCCUGCCCAGGUGAAUGCUACCUAAUGGAGUGGUCAGACUGGAGCUCGUGUGUGAGCGUGUGCAUCAAGGGCGCCGACAUGGACUUUGGUUCAGUUCAAGUUCGCUCACGAGCCGUGUUGGCGCAGGAGCCUGAAAACUUGCAGCUCUGUCCUGACCAGGCUUGGGAGUCUCAGCCCUGCACAGGGGGCGAAUGUUACGAGUACAAAUGGUUCAGCAACGUUCGUCUGAACUCCACACGCUCUACUAUCUGGUGUCAGCGCUCAGAUGGACUCAAUGUCACCGGAGGUUGUCCUGCUAUGAACCCUCCAGUGGACAACAGCUCCUGUGACCCUCCCUGUUUCAUGCCAAAGUCUUUCUGCAAUGAGGCUGGUAUAUGCAUGUGCGAGGAGGGAUUCACAGAGGUGCUGUCACCCACUGGACAGCUGGACCAGUGUGCCCCCAUCCCGAUCCUGGAGAUCCCCACAGCGGGUGACAAGAAAGGGGAUGUGAAGACCAGUCGUGCCAUUAACCCCACCCUGCCCACCACCAUCCAGCCUGGACGCACUGGCCGGACCUGGUACCUGCAGCCCUACGGACCAGAUGGGAAGCUGAAGAUGUGGGUGUAUGGUGUAGCAGCCGGAGCCUUUGUGCUCCUCAUAUUCAUAGUGUCUAUGAUAUACCUAGCUUGCAGCUACUGUGCCAAGGUGCAUCGCUCUCUUAAGGCCCAAGAGUCUGACGCCAAUGGGACGGCAGUCUGGAUGGGCCAAAAUGCACAUGAGAUGAUUUACACCUGUCCCGAUUGCCAAGAGCUGGCUCAAAGCAGCAGCAGCUAAUGAGGAUGUGGAGGGCUUACCCCCCCUCAACACACCCUACAGAAUAAGUACCUGCAGUCCUUGAUCUUUCCCUGAGACCUCUCUCUAAAGUGUCACACGUCCUGCCUGACUAGCUGAGUGAAGGUGAUGGCGCAGCAAAAAGCCAAAGAGACCUCAGAGACAGAGGCAACAAAACAACCGACUAAAACCUCUGACUCUCGCCUACGACGGGGACACGGACAUGUAGUCCUCCGGAGACGCUUCACCGAGCACUUCACCUGUCAUAGAGACCCACUUCAUCACGCCAUUACAGUGAGGGAUACGGAUGUUUGCAGCGUGAAUGGACACGUCACAGAGCGGAGAAAUUACAGAAAAUCCUCUUAGCAGAGACACUGGUGGAGUUUAACCAUGUCAAGUAGAGCUCCAUUCACUCCCUUCUUUAAAAAAAAAAAAUGUUUUUAAGUAUUUUCUUUUGCAAGAGCCUUCGUGACUUCCACCAUGAUCAAUGAAAUGCCUUUUUUUGCCCCCUACACAUCCAUAUUACUUUAAAGAAAAGAUUCAGAUACAGGAGAGUCUGGUGCAGGAGACAGACAGGCCCAGCUCUCAGUCUGCUUCUGAACAUGGCAGCACAAGCUCCAACUCUUCCCCCGCGCUUUUCCGCUUGUCCCUAAAAAAUGCUGAGUAGCUCGAGGCUUAGGAUGCUCUGACGGUUCGUAUGUUGCCAAAAGUCACCGCAGGGAAGAGGAGGAGGGAGAGGAAAAUCUCCAUAAAGAGGUUUGGAUUCCUUUUUCUCAAUCCUCAACUGGGUUUUGACUCAAAUCUCUUUUACAGUUUUGAACAAAAGUGAGGCAUAUUUUCUCUUCUUUUUUUGCUUGAUUUAGAGGCACACAGGCCUGUGUUUGUGGGAUAAACAGAUCUGUACGAUGCUGAUGGAGGAGUAGUCUGCAAUCAGUUGUUCAUGGAAACUACUGGCUGCCUGCCUCCACCCUGUCUUGUUUCAGGCUCUACAUUGCACUAUAUUAGUGCAGCAUGAUAUGCAUAUGUGACUUCUACCUUCUAUUGCCAUAAAACACUGCCUCUCCCACAGACUAAACCAUAAAGCAGAGGAACAGCUACCGGAACGCGGAAACAUUCAAAGGAAAACGAAAACGAGGAAAAAGAUGCUUAGAUGUGUCACAUUCUACAAAACCGAUGUGAAUCUCAAGUAAAUAUAUGUAUAGAUUUUUUGGUUGUAGUAAAGUACCUUUUGUGGUUUGUAGAUUUCGUCUGGUGUUAUCACUUUUAUUUCUGCCCAGAUGCAUUUAAAAAUUUAACUAUAAUAUCAACAGGUGACAUCUUUUAAUUAAUCACCUGCUUUACAAUUCUUUUUAACCAUUAAAAAAAAAUCAGAUUUAAUUAAAAUUAUUUACAUUUUUACCUACAGUGCUACAUUGUGGGAAAGCUGACCAUUUAAAGUGAUUAAAGAAAAGAAAGAACAAUAAAUGUAAACCAUUCAUGUCAUGCAAAUGUCAUUUCUGCCUUACUGACGAUAACUGAAUACUAACAGUCCUGUAAUAGAGUUUUUAUUACUUGAAUGGGGCACAUUAUAGGCUACACUAAACGUAGACAUGAAGAAGACUAACAUUUCUUUUGAGGUCACUAAGCAAGGCAUACUUCAGAGUUUUUAAAACUUUUUCAUGUAGUAAUCCAUAUCAUAGGAGCUCUAUCGUUUUUCAGUCACUACAUGAGGUGAAAUAUAGUUAAAAAAAAAAACAAUCUGUACAAAGAAAUUAUACAACAUGUUAAUAAUAAUAAUAAGAGAACACGCUUCUGCUGAGUUCAACGUAAAAGCAAACUGGAGUGGAGAAUGUUUACUUUUUUGUUGUGGGAUUUGUAAAUAACAGGGAUUUUUUUAUUUUUUUGGAAAAAAAAAUAUUACAGUAUGUGUACAUUUAUUUUGUAUUGCACAGAAAAUGUUUAGUUUGAAUAUUGCAAAGUGUGUGUGUGAUAUUGCUGAUUGUUGUAAUCAUGAUGCAAGUUGUAUGUUAUGAAAAAAAGAAAAAAAAGAAUCAGAAAAAGACGAAAAAGGCUCAGCCGUUUUGUACAGGUUGUUUAUAUGUAUGGGACGAAUUACUGAAAAUAAAUAAGGACACGGUUGUAAACACACAAAAAA
Molecule: RNA transcript, 8124 nt
Organism: Perca fluviatilis (European perch)
Lineage: Eukaryota; Metazoa; Chordata; Actinopteri; Perciformes; Percidae
Gene: thsd7ab
Gene name: thrombospondin type-1 domain-containing protein 7A
Exons: 32
Source: RefSeq, a predicted model, not a curated record